CUUGACAUACCGAUGACAGGUCUAGAGAUAGUAUUUCCCUUUUAGGGCGAUCGGAUACAGGUGGUGCAUGGUUGUCGUCAGCUCGUGUCGUGAGAUGUUGGGUUAAGUCCCGCAACGAGCGCAACCCCUAUUGUUAGUUGCCAUCAUUAAGUUGGGCACUCUAGCGAGACUGCCAGUAAUAAACUGGAGGAAGGUGGGGAUGACGUCAAAUCAUCAUGCCCCUUAUGACCUGGGCUACACACGUGCUACAAUGGGAAGUACAACGAGUUGCGAGGCGGUGACGCCAAGCUAAUCUCUUAAAGCUUCUCUCAGUUCGGAUUGUAGGCUGCAACUCGCCUACAUGAAGUCGGAAUCGCUAGUAAUCGCGGAUCAGCACGCCGCGGUGAAUACGUUCCCGGGCCUUGUACACACCGCCCGUCACACCACGAGAGUUUGUAACACCCGAAGUCGGUGAGGUAACCGUAAGGAGCCAACCGCCUAAGGUGGGAUAGAUGAUUGGGGUGAAGUCGUAACAAGGUAGGCGUAGAUGA
This 530-nucleotide ribosomal RNA is filed under the name uncultured bacterium. Its description in RNAcentral is "bacterial SSU rRNA". It matches the Rfam family "Bacterial small subunit ribosomal RNA", at positions 980 to 1509 of the family's 1533-position model. The record is from RNAcentral.